AGAAAUCGGUAUGUUUUCUUAUUUUUAAGGAAAAUGUUCUGAAAAAUGCAUCUUCUGCUUCUGCUUCUUCCUCUUCUUCUUCUUCCUGGUGCAUGCUGGGAGAUUUUCGGAGGGUGAAAGAAAGAGAAGACUGGUUGUGGACUUGAAGGGAACGAUUUCCUGGCCUUCCUGACAUCCAGGAAAAAGAGGCAGUAGAGAUGUACUGGAAACAGUGGAGAGGGAGAAGAUGCAGCAAAAGGCCCAGCCGGAUGGUUGCUGCUCCGUGUGGAACGUGUUCUCCAGUAUCAGAAAGGAUCAUGCCAGCCCACAUCAAACACCUGAUCAAGAACUUGAGAAUCUUCAGGCAGAAAAGAUGAAAACACCUGUUCAAAGUUCCAGUUUCCUGUACAUCAAACGAUGCCUGUCCUCUGUUCCACAUGUCUUCAGUCAGUCCUGGACCCUAUGACUAGGACACUAGUUCUACCAAGGCUUAAUAGAGAUAAUACAGCUGCACAAUUACAACAGGAACUAAUCUUUAGACGGUUAAUACAGAAGAUCUGCUAAAUUGGAGGAUUCCAAAGCUGAGCUGGAAGGGGAAGUCUCCACCUACAGGACAGCACAUCUAAACAUUCAUUUGGAUAAACUAUUAAACCAGAAGAACAAUCUGAGACCCAGUGUGAGCCUGCACCCUGGACACCCACACACCCCAAUAAUCCCCCUUCAAAGAGCGAGCCGCAUGGGAAGAUUGUUGUCAUUCACUUGCAAGGGGAGAUUCCAGUGCGUCCAGAGGUCUGGGCAAAAAUAAAAAACAACACAAGGGACUCCAUGUUCGUGAAGGAGUUGGCUGUGGCGUUUUGGGGCACCGACACCUUAGGGGAAAGGAGCCUGACUGGAAAGGAAUGCCCCACCACCAAGACCACCAGGCAGCCCCUCACCCUGCAGAAGCUAUGGGGUUUGA
This is a long non-coding RNA of Trematomus bernacchii (emerald rockcod), 937 nucleotides long. RefSeq lists it as uncharacterized. Lineage: Eukaryota; Metazoa; Chordata; Actinopteri; Perciformes; Nototheniidae. The transcript has 7 exons. The record is from RefSeq and is a predicted model, not a curated record.